RNAcentral lists this non-coding RNA (30 nucleotides) under Homo sapiens (human). Lineage: Eukaryota; Metazoa; Chordata; Mammalia; Primates; Hominidae. The record is from RNAcentral.
UCUUGCCUCGGCACCUGGGUAAUCCUCCGU